Molecule: non-coding RNA, 24 nt
Filed under: Arabidopsis thaliana (thale cress)
Lineage: Eukaryota; Viridiplantae; Streptophyta; Magnoliopsida; Brassicales; Brassicaceae
Source: RNAcentral
GACCCCGAUCUGAUCGGCCUCGGC